Molecule: transfer RNA, 88 nt
Filed under: Pseudomonas sp. Leaf58
Lineage: Bacteria; Pseudomonadati; Pseudomonadota; Gammaproteobacteria; Pseudomonadales; Pseudomonadaceae
Description: tRNA-Ser
Rfam family: tRNA
About the family: Transfer RNA (tRNA) molecules are approximately 80 nucleotides in length.
Source: RNAcentral
GGAGAGUUGUCUGAGCGGUCUAAAGUAGCAGCUUUGAAUCCUGCCAGGUGUCACAGCCUCCCCGGUUCGAAUCCGGGACUCUCCGCCA